UACGUAGGUGGCAAGCGUUGUCCGGAAUUAUUGGGCGUAAAGCGCGCGCAGGCGGUCCUUUAAGUCUGAUGUGAAAGCCCACGGCUCAACCGUGGAGGGUCAUUGGAAACUGCCUCGCUAGAGUCCGGAAGAGGAGAGCGGAAUUCCUGGUGUAGCGGUGGAAUGCGCAGAUAUCAGGAAGAACACCCGUGGCGAAGGCGGCUCUCUGGGACGGUACUGACGCUGAGACGCGAAAGCGUGGGGAGCGAACAGG
This 253-nucleotide ribosomal RNA is filed under the name uncultured bacterium. RNAcentral's name for it is "partial 16S ribosomal RNA". It matches the Rfam family "Bacterial small subunit ribosomal RNA", at positions 524 to 776 of the family's 1533-position model. The record is from RNAcentral.